Molecule: ribosomal RNA, 501 nt
Filed under: uncultured bacterium
Lineage: Bacteria
Description: bacterial SSU rRNA
Rfam family: Bacterial small subunit ribosomal RNA
Source: RNAcentral
GAUGAACGCUAGCUACAGGCUUAACACAUGCAAGUCGAGGGGCAGCGCAGUGUAGCAAUACAUGGGCGGCGACCGGCGCACGGGUGCGUAACGCGUAUCCAACCUUCCCGUUACUCAGGGAUAGCCUUCCGAAAGGGAGAUUAAUACCUGAUGGUGUUGAAAUUCCGCAUGUUAUUUCAACUAAAGAUUUAUCGGUAACGGAUGGGGAUGCGUGACAUUAGAUAGUAGGCGGGGUAACGGCCCACCUAGUCUACGAUGUCUAGGGGUUCUGAGAGGAAGGUCCCCCCACACUGGAACUGAGACACGGUCCAGACUCCUACGGGAGGCAGCAGUGAGGAAUAUUGGUCAAUGGUCGGAAGACUGAACCAGCCAAGUAGCGUGAAGGAUGAAGGUUCUAUGGAUUGUAAACUUCUUUUAUACGGGAAUAAAACCUCCCACGUGUGGGAGCUUGUAUGUACCGUAUGAAUAAGCAUCGGCUAACUCCGUGCCAGCAGCCGCGGU